RNAcentral lists this transfer RNA (74 nucleotides) under Lachnospiraceae bacterium. RNAcentral's name for it is "tRNA-Asp". It matches the Rfam family "tRNA". From Rfam's summary of the family: Transfer RNA (tRNA) molecules are approximately 80 nucleotides in length. The record is from RNAcentral. Lineage: Bacteria; Bacillati; Bacillota; Clostridia; Lachnospirales; Lachnospiraceae.
GGCCCGGUGGCUCAGCUGGUUAGAGCGCCGCCCUGUCACGGCGGAGGUCUUCGGUUCGAGUCCGAUCUGGGUCG